CUAAACACGGUGAACUGUUAACUGUGUUUAAACUCUAUAUCUGCCACAGUCACUACUCUCUCUCUCUCUCUCUCUCUCUCUCUCUCUCUCAUUCUUUCCCUCUUUCUCCCUGAGCUUCUCUGCACACACUCUCUCUCUCUCUUCCCCGUCCCCUUCCUUGAGCUCUUUGCCGUUGGUGCCGUUGCCAACUGCUGUCGCUGUCCGUCGCACUCAUCACCUCUCUCUCUCUCUCUCUCUCUCUCUUUCUUUCUUCCGCUUUCACUCUUUCUCUCGCUCUCUCUCUCUCUGUGCCCCUCUACCCGGAGCUGUCUGCCAAUCUCUCUCAGAACCCUCUUCUCUCUCUCUCUCUCUCUCUCUCUCUAUCCACCCUCACCAGAGUCUUUCUCUGUCUCUCAGACUCUCUCUCUCUUUCUCUUUCUCUCUCUGAACCCCUCUCCCUCUCUCUCUUUCUCUUUGUCCCCCCUCUCAAAGAGACCCCUCCCCCUCUCUCUCUCUGUCAUCACUCCUCCCCUCCAGAGCCCUCCAUCAACGCGAACACGUGCCGACCUUGUCCUGCAAAUUGCCAUAGAUUCAUCUUUCACU
RNAcentral lists this long non-coding RNA (582 nucleotides) under Ananas comosus (pineapple). RNAcentral describes it as "long non-coding RNA (ACOM_LNC005238)". Lineage: Eukaryota; Viridiplantae; Streptophyta; Magnoliopsida; Poales; Bromeliaceae. The record is from RNAcentral.